This is an RNA transcript of Cydia fagiglandana, 511 nucleotides long. It is a transcript of the gene named chorion class high-cysteine HCA protein 12-like, with no coding region annotated. Lineage: Eukaryota; Metazoa; Arthropoda; Insecta; Lepidoptera; Tortricidae. The record is from RefSeq and is a predicted model, not a curated record. The transcript is spliced from 4 exons.
GAUAUCGGAGACCUAUUUUCAUAACUGUGUUAGUAUAAAAGAGUUUCCAAAAUUUACUCUAAUCAUUCUUAAUAUUUUUCGGUAGUGUAAUCCUAUUAAGAUAAUAUAGUACAAAUAUUAUAAUGUUUCAGUUCGCGAUCUUAAUUUUGUGCUUUCAGGCUUGCCUGAUUCAGACUGCCUUGAGUCAAUCGUGCGGAUGCAACACGUACGGCGGCACCGGCACCGGACAGGUGGGCGUGUCCGGCAACAUAGACGCGAGUGGCCAGACCGUCGUCGUCGGCUCCGUGCCCGUGCUCGGCUCCGUUGACUUCGGUGGCUGCGCGCCCGCGUCCGGCUCCGUGUCUAUCACCGGACAGUGCGGUUGCGACAGACUGCCAGUUUGAGCAGACAUUAUUACCUUCUGCGUCCACGUAUAUCCCGUCAGGCAGCGGCAUAGGCGCAGUCGCAGCGGUACAGCAGUCUGCACCCACCACGCCUAUUAUCAGCCAGAGUUCCACCAUCAGCAAGACUU